AUGUCAAGUAGCAUACAGAUCAAGAAGUAUGUUGACAAUCACACUUGCACAAAAGCAUGGGACCUGAGAGUUCUGACUGCUCCUUUUCUUACUAACAAGUUCAGAGAAGAAUUCAGAGACAAUAAAAAAAUGCCUCUGAAGAAAUUUUCAGAUAAGGUGGAGACAGAAUAUAAUUUGGUUCCACACAGGAGUAAGUUGGGAAGAGCUAGGAGAGCAGCAGUGAAUCAAAUAAGGGGAGUAGAUGAUGACCAAUAUAAUACUUUGUGGGAUUAUGGUCAGGAGCUUAGAAGGAGCAAUCCAGGAAGCCAGUUCUUCUUGUGCACUAAGGAAGUAUUUGAUGAGAAGACAAAGAAGGUGCAAGACCACUUUUCCACAUUGUACUGGUCAUAUGAUACAUGCAAGAGGGGAUUCCUUAAGGGAUGUAGACCAAUCAUUUUCCUGGAUGGUUGUCACAUUAAAACAAGAUACAAGGGAACAUUACUAACAGCCGUUGGAAUCGAUCCCAAUGAUUGUAUCUUUCCAGUAGCAUUUGGGUUAUGUGAAGUGGAGUCAACCCAUAGCUGGGAGUGGUUCUUAGCAUCCUUAAAGGAUGACCUGAACAUAAUGAACACCUCACCAUACACCAUUAUGAGUGACAAGCAAAAGGGAUUAAUAAAUGCAGUGAAAAAGGUUUUCCCUCAUUCAGAACAUAGAAACUGUGUUAGGCACAUUUAUCAAAAUUUCCAUAAAGUACACAAGGGAGAGCAGCUCAAGAAUGAUCUAUGGUCUAUAGCAAGGUCCACUAAUGAAGCUGCAUACACCAGGAACAUGGAUCUAAUGAAAGAACACAGCUUGGGUGCCUACACCUGGGUUGAGAAAUUGGAGCCAAGAACAUGGAUCAAAGCAUUCUUUGACCCGUUUUGCAAGUGUGACAUAUUACUAAACAAUAUGUCAGAAGUGUUCAAUAGUUACAUUUUGGAUGCGAGGAAAAUGCCAAUUAAGUCAAUGUUGGACCAGAUAAUGUGGAAGCUAACAAACAGGAUUGUUGGCAAGCAGAGAGAGGCAGAGAAAUGGACAGGCAGAUUAUGUCCCAAGAUACAGAAGAAAUUGGACAAGUAUGUGGAGUGGGCAAAGAACUGCAGGGUGCAAGAGUAUGGGCAAGGUGUUUUCAAGGUUUUCUCUUUGAACAACACAUACAUUGUUGACUUGAACAUGCUUUCUUGUGAAUGCAAAAGGUGGGUACUAUCUGGCAUACCUUGCCAUCAUGCAAUUGCAUGUUUUAGGCAUGACAGAAUUGAGCCAGAGAGCAUGGUCCAUUCAUGCUACACUGUUGAGGAAUAUAAGAAGUGUUAUGGAUUUAAUAUGAUGCCAAUGAGGGACCCACAGCAAUGGGAAAAAUGCAUGGCAUUGCUGUUCACCCACCCCUGUACACAAAAGUAA
RNAcentral lists this ribosomal RNA (1419 nucleotides) under Triticum aestivum (bread wheat). RNAcentral describes it as "partial small subunit ribosomal RNA". Lineage: Eukaryota; Viridiplantae; Streptophyta; Magnoliopsida; Poales; Poaceae. The record is from RNAcentral.